Molecule: ribosomal RNA, 426 nt
Filed under: uncultured bacterium
Lineage: Bacteria
Description: bacterial SSU rRNA
Rfam family: Bacterial small subunit ribosomal RNA
Source: RNAcentral
GAUGAACGCUGGCGGUCUGCUUAACACAUGCAAGUCGAACGAACUCUUCGGAGUGAGUGGCGGACGGGUGAGUAACGCGUGGAUAACCUGCCCUAUACUCCAGGAUAACAUACCGAAAGGUAUGCUAAUACUGGAUAAUAUACAUUAGUCGCAUGGCUUUUGUAUCAAAGAUUACGGUAUAGGAUGGAUCCGCGUUCCAUUAGCUAGUUGGUGGGAAAGGCCUACCAAGGCGACGAUGGAUAGCCGACCUGAGAGGGUGAUCGGCCACACUGGAACUGAGACACGGUCCAGACUCCUACGGAGGCAGCAGUGGGGAAUAUUGCACAAUGGGCGAAAGCCUGAUGCAGCAACGCCGCGUGAGCGAUGAAGGCCUUCGGGUCGUAAAGCUCUGUCCUAAAGGAAGAAUUUUGACGGUACUUUAGGAGG